This 253-nucleotide ribosomal RNA is filed under the name uncultured bacterium. RNAcentral describes it as "partial 16S ribosomal RNA". It matches the Rfam family "Bacterial small subunit ribosomal RNA", at positions 524 to 776 of the family's 1533-position model. The record is from RNAcentral.
UACGUAGGGUGCGAGCGUUAAUCGGAAUUACUGGGCGUAAAGCGUGCGUAGGCGGUUCGCUGUGUCCGAUGUGAAAGCCCCGGGCUUAACCUGGGAAUGGCAUUGGAAACUGGCGGGCUUGAGUGCGGCAGAGGGGGGUGGAAUUCCGCGUGUAGCAGUGAAAUGCGUAGAGAUGCGGAGGAACACCGAUGGCGAAGGCAGCCCCCUGGGUCGACACUGACGCUCAGGCACGAAAGCAUGGGGAGCAAACAGG